This 540-nucleotide ribosomal RNA is filed under the name Triticum aestivum (bread wheat). RNAcentral describes it as "partial small subunit ribosomal RNA". The record is from RNAcentral. Lineage: Eukaryota; Viridiplantae; Streptophyta; Magnoliopsida; Poales; Poaceae.
AUGGUUGUUAUAAAUUAUAAUGGCGUAAGAGUACGGGAAGCAAAAACUGAAUCAUUUGUGGUAAAGGAUCAUCGUGGAGAAUUGUACCAGAAGCAUCACCCACCAGUUCUUGAAGAUGAGGUUUGGAGACUGGAGAAGAUCGGCAAGGAAGGAGCUUUUCACAAGCGUUUGAAUAAGGAGAAGAUAGUUACAGUCAAAGAUUUUCUCACUUUAUUGCAUCUUGAUGCUCCUAGGCUCCGGAAGAUAUUGGGCACUGGCAUGUCAACUAAGAUGUGGGAGGUUACUAUUGAGGAUGCAAAAACAACAUGUAUACUCAGUGACAAGUUGCUUGUUUACUAUCUAGAAAACCCAAGCAAAACUGCAGUUGUGUUCAAUGCUGUUGGAGAAGUGAGAGGGUUAAUAUCGGAGAAGUUUGUUUCUGUUGAUGAUCUAACAGAAAAGGAGAAGGCUGAAGCAAAUGCAGCUGUUAAACAAGCAUUUGAAGACUGGAAGAAUGUCUCGACCUGCGACAGUGAAACACUUUUGGAGAAUCCGUCAUAG